Molecule: ribosomal RNA, 453 nt
Filed under: uncultured organism
Description: partial 16S ribosomal RNA
Rfam family: Bacterial small subunit ribosomal RNA
Source: RNAcentral
GUACACUCCUGCGGGAGGCAGCAGUGGGGAAUAUUGGACAAUGGGCGCAAGCCUGAUCCAGCCAUGCCGCGUGAGUGAUGAAGGCCCUAGGGUUGUAAAGCUCUUUCACCGGUGAAGAUAAUGACGGUAACCGGAGAAGAAGCCCCGGCUAACUUCGUGCCAGCAGCCGCGGUAAUACGAAGGGGGCUAGCGUUGUUCGGAUUUACUGGGCGUAAAGCGCACGUAGGCGGACUAUUAAGUCAGGGGUGAAAUCCCGGGGCUCAACCCCGGAACUGCCUUUGAUACUGGUAGUCUUGAGUUCGAGAGAGGUGAGUGGAAUUCCGAGUGUAGAGGUGAAAUUCGUAGAUAUUCGGAGGAACACCAGUGGCGAAGGCGGCUCACUGGCUCGAUACUGACGCUGAGGUGCGAAAGCGUGGGGAGCAAACAGGAUUAGAAACCCCAGUAGUCCCAUGA